CCCUAACAGCCUGCUGCAGAGCAAUGGAAUUUGUCUUGCUUCUCUUUUUACCUUGAUUGCCAAGGCUGAGUUUAAAACCUACCCACGAUGAUGCAAGACAAACUGUAGGACACUGGAGAAACAUCUUCUGAUCACAAGCUGCACAGAAUGUGGAGAAGCAAUGAAGGCAAAUGUUUAAUACAAACAUUUCUUAGUUUCAGAAGAGACUAAUGAUGACUAAAGGAGCAGGAACAAGACACAGGUGAAGGAGAGUUUCAGCGCUCUGGGGAACUGCUCCAUGUGGAAAAAGUGGGAAGUAGAUAUCCAUACCUCUGAGAGUAUCGGGGAGUCACAACAGGGGUCAGAACAGAGUUACACAGAGUCAUUAGAAGGGACAAGUGGCUAUAUAGCCUACAAGAAGCAACCCAAACCUCCUGACAUAUGUUGACACAAGGCAAAGACUGCCAUAAUCCCGGGAAAGGGAGCAGGAUGCUGGACGCAGAGAGAAAGAAGAGUAACCAAGGCAAAGGACAGCUGUGUCCAUCUUGUGGUGCCUGGAAGAGGAGAGGGAGCUUUACUGCUUAUGGACCUGUGGCAAGGCUACUCUGAGUGAAGCAAUGAAGGGCCAUCAUGGCAUGAUCUGGCUUUAGCAGAAAGUGAGACUGUUAUGCUGACCCAGAAGGACAUGGUUAUUAAAUAUUUAUUAAGCACCUGCGGUGUGCCCUACUCUAUGGUCGGAAGCCCUAUGGGAAUUGCAAAACUCCUGACUUAUGGAGAAUAGCUUGGAGUCUAGCUAGAAGAGAAAAUCCCUACAUAUCAGGAACAGCUAAGGACCAAUUUCUACCUAAGAGCUGUGCAGCUGGGGAAAAAACAACAACAGUGGCAGCCCAUAUAUUGAACCUCAAAAGUAAAGCUGUCUGGAUUAAGAAGAUAGAAGAGGAAGUUUAAGAGACUCACAAUGAAAGGGUUUAACAAGAACUGCCUGUGAAAGUGUUGAUUCGCAAACUCUUGGAACAUUGGAAAUUAUUUCCUUAACAACGGAAGGAAAACUGAC
Long non-coding RNA from Suricata suricatta (meerkat), 1033 nucleotides. RefSeq lists it as uncharacterized. The transcript has 4 exons. The record is from RefSeq and is a predicted model, not a curated record. Lineage: Eukaryota; Metazoa; Chordata; Mammalia; Carnivora; Herpestidae.